This 1269-nucleotide long non-coding RNA is filed under the name Canis lupus familiaris (dog). RNAcentral describes it as "lncRNA (ENSCAFG00030023068.1)". The record is from RNAcentral. Lineage: Eukaryota; Metazoa; Chordata; Mammalia; Carnivora; Canidae.
AUGCCUGCUCUUGAGGGAGUGGAGCUGGAGACGGGUCUGAUCAGUGGGGAGCUCUCCACCAGUGGGUCCAGGACCUUGAAAUCCGGAUGCAGGGAGCCUCGGUGUCCUCGCGGGGCAUCCGGGUUGCCUGAAGCCGGAAGGGCGGAAACGGUGGGCACAGACCGUGUGAGGCUCGUCUCCGCCAGCCCCAACCCGGUCCCCGUCUCUGACGCCCGAAGCGGCUCCCUUCGGCGCCACCUGGCGGCCGUCGCGCGCGAGCGGAGAGUGGACCCAGCGCGGGUCCACGGGCCUGUGGGGGCCAGUUCCCGCGGAGCGGGAGGGCUGGGGGCGCCCAGCGUGGGGAGCCGGGACCGCGCGGAACGGGGCGCGGAAGCUCUCUGGAUUCGGGCGGACCGCACGACCCCCGCCGGGACCCGAGGAGACCCGGGGACGCCGGCCUCUAGCUGCAGCCCACCGGCGGCGGCCGCGGGGCGCCCGAGUCAACGUGCGCGCGCCCGCACGCCCCACGCAAGCAUCCCGCACCGCCGCGCGCGCGCACGCACGCCCCGAGGCUCGCCCGCUCAGGCAGGUCUCCCACGCAGCGGGCUGCGGGCGCCCGAGCCCCGGGUUCCCGGAGUGGAAGGCCGUUCCGAGGGGCGUACUCGUGCGGGCACACCGCUGCACGCUUUUCCACUCUCACCUCGGGCGUGGGGACGCCGCCACGGUCGCACUGUUCCCAUGGGCGACCCCUGGAGGGCGGGUCGUGGGGGUCCGUGCGGCCCAGGCCCCUCGGAACAGGCUGGGGGCUUCCCGGGCCAGGCCGCUCCCACCUGCCGGCCGCAGCGGCCAAUGAGAGCCUGGUCUGGUGAUGUCAUGCCCCGACCGGACCCUGGUGACGAAAGUCCCAGCUCACCCGUCAGGGAACCAGAGCAAACCCACCCGCGGGGGUUCCGGAAGUUUCCACUGCGGCAGCGGAGUGCGGCCUCACCCCGGAGCCUUGCGCGUGCCACCACGUCUUGCCUUCUGGGAUGUCCCCGAGUCACCUCUCCCUUGCCCCGGGGGUCUUCUUCCGUGGGGCCCUCCUUCAUGUCCAUUAGUGAUCUCACGUUCUCGUCUUCAUUCCCACAGGUGUGCCCUCAUCCCCCAGGAGUGCCCCACGUCACCUUUUCUCCGCCAGUACCACUCGGACCCCCGCGGGGUCCUCAGCCUCACUUUCACGUGCCGGUCCUCCCAUGCCACCCUCGCUGUGUCGUGGCCAAGGAUGUUCAUUUAUUGGGCCCCUGGUCCUGA